Molecule: non-coding RNA, 100 nt
Filed under: Musca domestica (house fly)
Lineage: Eukaryota; Metazoa; Arthropoda; Insecta; Diptera; Muscidae
Description: Eukaryotic small subunit ribosomal RNA
Rfam family: Eukaryotic small subunit ribosomal RNA
Source: Rfam by way of RNAcentral
AACGAAAGUAUCAACGUGUAUUUCCUAGACCGAGAGGUCCGGGUAAACCGCUGAACCACUUUCAUGCUUGGGAUUGUGAACUGAAACGGUUCACAUGAAC